GUUCUUCUGGGUAACCAAGAGGAAGUUGGAGGUGCCGACGGGACCUGAAGUGCAGACCCCUAAGGUUUGGUCCUUGUUUUUCAAGGUGGCUGGGAUGAGCCCUUGGGCGCCUCAGGUGCCUGUAUCACCCACUCCUCCCUACCAAAGGGGGCAUUUUCCUACAGCCUUCAGACGCUGACUGGGACGACCUGUGGGACCAGUUUGAUGAGCGGCGGUAUCUGAAUGCCAAAAAGUGGCGCGUUGGUGACGACCCCUAUAAGCUGUAUGCUUUCAACCAGCGAGAGAGUGAGCGGAUCUCCAGCAAUCGGGCCGUCCCGGACACUCGCCAUCUGAGAUGCACGCUGCUGGUGUAUUGCACGGACCUUCCACCCACUAGCAUCAUCAUCACCUUCCACAACGAGGCCCGCUCCACGCUGCUCAGGACCAUCCGCAGCGUAAUAAACCGCACCCCUACGCAUCUGAUCCGGGAAAUCAUAUUAGUGGAUGACUUCAGCAAUGACCCUGAUGACUGUAAACAGCUCAUCAAGUUGCCCAAGGUGAAAUGCUUGCG
RNAcentral lists this small RNA (550 nucleotides) under Pan troglodytes (chimpanzee). RNAcentral's name for it is "processed transcript". The record is from RNAcentral. Lineage: Eukaryota; Metazoa; Chordata; Mammalia; Primates; Hominidae.